UUGGAGGGCAAGUCUGGUGCCAGCAGCCGCGGUAAUUCCAGCUCCAAUAGCGUAUAUUAAAGUUGUUGCAGUUAAAAAGCUCGUAGUUGAAUUUCGGGGUCAGCAGGUUGGUCGUGCCACUGGUAUGAACUGGUUUCGCUGAUUCCUCCUUUCUGAAGAACUGUAAUGUCAUUAAUUUGGUGUUGCAGGGAAACAGGACUGUUACUUUGAAAAAAUUAGAGUGUUUAAAGCAGGCUAACGCUUGAAUACAUUAGCAUGGAAUAAUGAAAUAGGACGUUCAAACCUAUUUUGUUGGUUUCUAGGAUUGACGUAAUGAUUAAUAGGGAUAGUUGGG
Molecule: unclassified non-coding RNA, 334 nt
Filed under: uncultured Glomeraceae
Lineage: Eukaryota; Fungi; Glomeromycota; Glomeromycetes; Glomerales; Glomeraceae
Description: SSU rRNA
Rfam family: Eukaryotic small subunit ribosomal RNA
Source: RNAcentral